CCUACGGUGAGCAGCAGUGGGGAAUAUUGCACAAUGGGGGAAACCCUGAUGCAGCGACGCCGCGUGAGCGAUGAAGUAUUUCGGUAUGUAAAGCUCUAUCAGCAGGGAAGAAGAUGACGGUACCUGACUAAGAAGCCCCGGCUAACUACGUGCCAGCAGCAGCGGUAAUACGUAGGGGGCAAGCGGUAUCCGGAUUUACUGGGUGUAAAGGGAGCGUAGACGGCGAUGCAAGCCAGAUGUGAAAGACCGGGGCUCAACCCCGGGACUGCAUUUGGAACUGUGUGGCUGGAGUGUCGGAGAGGCAGGCGGGAUUCCUAGUGUAGCGGUGAAAUGCGUAGAUAUUAGGAGGAACACCAGUGGCGAAGGCGGACUGCUGGACGAUGACUGACGUUGAGGCUCGAAAGCGUGGGGAGCAAACAGGAUUAGAUACCCCUGUAGUC
RNAcentral lists this ribosomal RNA (440 nucleotides) under uncultured bacterium. Its description in RNAcentral is "partial 16S ribosomal RNA". It matches the Rfam family "Bacterial small subunit ribosomal RNA", at positions 338 to 795 of the family's 1533-position model. The record is from RNAcentral.